UGUCAGCACCAAAUAAUUUUUUUUUUUUAAUUUUCUUUUCUUUCUUUGCUUUGUUUCUCCGUCUCCUCCACGCCGUCGCGUCUCACCUCUGCCUUGGGUCUUCUUCAUCCUUGUCGACUCAGGCUUGGCUCGUGGUGGUGAUUGAGUUCGUUUUCAAGCCAGUAGCACCGGACUCGCCCUCUGCAACUCCGGUCGUCAUCUCCGUCGUGGCUGAGUUUCAGAUCGAGAAAGCUCGUUCUCUCCAAUGGUGGGCUUUAGUGUGGUGAAGCCGAUUGAGUUUGGCUCGUGGUUCGUUUUUUCAAUCAAUUUAGAUAUUGGAUUUUCUGGGCUAGAGAGCAGAUUCUACUUUAAUCAAUUUAGAUAUUGGAUUUUCUGGAAAAACCCAAACAUCUUUGUCUUUACGUAAUAGUAAUAGUAAUAGAUCGAGUAUAAGUAGACAUAAACCGCAGUCGAAGCAACUGAGAAGAACGAUGUCCAUUGCCAGUGAUAGUUUUCGGCAUUUAGCAAGAAUCAUUGCGAUCUCUGUUCCCUCUAGAGUCCAUCAACAUGUUUCAAAUGAAUAAACAUCUGACCAAGCACAUAUGGCCUUUAGAGGAUAAUGCAGGAGAAUCAGCUGGCUCUAGCUCUUAUUCCGAACAGUAGAGAUCGGUUCAGGACUUUAAACACGGCAAAGCCAUAGCCAAAGACUAAAAAGGUAUUGCAUUUUGAGACUUGGAAGCAUGCGUUUUCUGAAUUUGCAAGCAAGUUGCAUCCUUUUGAAGUGAUCUCAAAUGUUGUCUUUUUGGUAUAUAGUCACAAAAUUAGAAUGAAUAUGUUAGAGUUCUUCUUGAGUGUGGUUUGUGUAAAGUGUUUAUUUUUAACUGUUGUUUGAACAUGUUAAUCUGAGAGGAGGAGGCUUUGGCAAUCAAGACAGCAGGGAAGGCGUGGUAGCAGACUAUGAUCUCCAACAGUGACUAAACCAAGUUUGAGAGUUGAGGUUUUCCGGGAUCAAACUGAAGGUGAAGUACAUCGUCCACACAAAAAGUGCAAGUAGACUCCAGGACAAUCUUCAUCCACCUUUUUCAAAUGAUCCAGGAAAAAAUAAUCAAGGCUGUACCACAUUUGGAGAGCAUCAUCUAAAACCGUAUGUUUUUGAAAAAUUCAGUCGAACAUAUGAUGUAUGUACACUUUUCUGAGAGUGUCUUAGAAUCUUCACCAAAAUAAGUGAAUCGUGCAUUUCUUCUCCAACAGUUCUCAUACCGGUUGAGCAAGCGACACUGUUGAGAAGUACCUUGUGAUGCUCUUUGUUUCCUUCACCGAGAUCCCUUUUUAAACGUUGAAAUUGUUCUCAUUUUACACGUUCAUUUUCCCUGAUACUAGGAGGUUUCAACGAAUUCCACAGUUCCUUGGCUGUCUCCUUCUGAGUUAUGGUAUUCAUGAUGGAUUUUAAUUUCUUAGGCAAGUAGUUAUUCACCUUAACGUAUGUUAGCUUCUUUUCUACAAACUAUUGUCUAUGUUUCUCCAUUGAAUAUAUAUCUAUCCUCGGGCUGGCU
Long non-coding RNA from Brassica napus (rape), 1532 nucleotides. RefSeq lists it as uncharacterized. The record is from RefSeq and is a predicted model, not a curated record. The transcript is spliced from 3 exons. Lineage: Eukaryota; Viridiplantae; Streptophyta; Magnoliopsida; Brassicales; Brassicaceae.